Molecule: ribosomal RNA, 467 nt
Filed under: uncultured bacterium
Lineage: Bacteria
Description: partial 16S ribosomal RNA
Rfam family: Bacterial small subunit ribosomal RNA
Source: RNAcentral
GACGAACGCUGGCGGCGUGCUUAACACAUGCAAGUCGAACGGAAAGGCCCUGCUUUUGUGGGGUGCUCGAGUGGCGAAAGGGUGAGUAACACGUGAGUAACCUGCCCUUGACUUUGGGAUAACUUCAGGAAACUGGGGCUAAUACCGGAUAGGAGUUCCUGCUGCAUGGUGGGGGUGGGAAAGUUUCGGCGGUUGGGGAUGGACUCGCGGCUAAUCAGCUUGUUGGUGGGGUAGUGGAUUACCAAGGCUUUGACGGGUGGGCGGCCUGGGAGGGUGGCCGACCACCUUGGCUCGAAGUUAGGGCCGGGCCACCUUCGUGCGGCAGGCGGGGGGAAUGUUGAACACUGGACGGACGCCUGAUGCAGCAACCCCGCGUGCGGGAAGACGGCCUUCGGGUUGUAAGCCGCUUCGCCUGUGACGAAGCGUGAGUGACGGUAAUGGGUAAAGAAGCACCGGCUAACUACGUG